This is a small nucleolar RNA of Otolemur garnettii (small-eared galago), 80 nucleotides long. The record is from Ensembl. NCBI's taxonomy places the organism in Eukaryota, Metazoa, Chordata, Mammalia, Primates, Galagidae.
AAGCAAUGCAAUAGAAACUUUCUUUUUCCAUGAGAAACAUCCCUGCAGUGGGUUGUUCCUAUCGAUAGGAGGUUACACAU